This 27-nucleotide ribosomal RNA is filed under the name Tetrapyrgos nigripes. RNAcentral's name for it is "partial 18S ribosomal RNA". Lineage: Eukaryota; Fungi; Basidiomycota; Agaricomycetes; Agaricales; Campanellaceae. The record is from RNAcentral.
UCGUAGGUGACCUGCGGAAGGAUCAUU